Molecule: long non-coding RNA, 619 nt
Filed under: Olea europaea subsp. europaea
Lineage: Eukaryota; Viridiplantae; Streptophyta; Magnoliopsida; Lamiales; Oleaceae
Source: RNAcentral
AGUUUUGUUGUUAAAUAAGUAAGAAAGUCAAACUCAAAAUCCCGAUCUUAAUUGAUUGUGUUUUUGGAAGUUAGUUUUAAUUAAAGUAUAGUCACUAAUUGAUUCGACGAUACCAUACUCACUACUUUGUUAUUUAGUACAAUCCAUCGAUUUCAGGAUAAAACAGAUAACAGUACAUACUAAUGAGACGUGUUGAUCUUUUGAGUUGAUCUCACAGUAGUAAAUUAUCUAUGGAACAUGAAAGUUCUAACCAAUGGAUUUGUAUUAAAAUAUAUAAUCAAAAUAUUUAUUUGAUGAAUAUAUUGAGAAAGAAUAUAGUUGUUUAAUAAAAUUGUAAAACAAGCUAAUAGCACGAAAUUUUUAAAAAAAAUUUCUGAUUAUUUUCGAUAGCUUAUAAUUAUUUUUAAUAGCAUUCAUGUAAAUACUUUGGAAUAAACAAGAUCAAGCAGUAAAACAUCCACCGAUAGUCAAUUCUUCGCGAUGGAGUGAACCUAACAUUGUAACUUAUUAGUCUCGUCUUUGUUUAUACAUGUACAACUUUUUGAAGGUCACUGGACCAAGUUAUUAGCAAUUAAUCAUUCCAUAUUUGCACAAAAUGAAAUUUAUUAGGUCUUCAUUG